This 1073-nucleotide long non-coding RNA is filed under the name Nicotiana benthamiana. RNAcentral describes it as "long non-coding RNA (NBEN_LNC033090)". Lineage: Eukaryota; Viridiplantae; Streptophyta; Magnoliopsida; Solanales; Solanaceae. The record is from RNAcentral.
AAAAACUAUGUAUUAUUAGUGAAACAAAGAAGAAAGAAUUAAGCUGUGACAGUGUGACCUAUAAACAACUUCUUCUAUAAUGCAGAGACAAGAAAUCUCAACAAUACUCAAUCUAAGCAACAGAAGUUGCAUCUCUAAUUUGAAAUGAAAACAAAAACUUCAAAAUUCUGAAAAAUAAGAGCCCAUUCUGGCAGCCUAAAAGUUCAAAAAAAAUAGGAUCUUCAGUUCAUGCCAGUGGCAUUUUUAACUGCAUCAGCUGCCCCUUGUGCCUUGGCCUGCAUUUGCUGCCCCGCCUAUAAAAUUAUCAUCCAGAUAUAACACAUUAGUAAUUUUUUGUCUAAUGACGACAACAACAACAACAAUAUAAUCCAACUUAGUGGGGUCUGGGGAGGGUAGUGUGGACGCAGACCUUGCCCCUACCCUUGGGUAGAGAGACUGUUCCAAAUAGAAACCCGGCAUCCUUCUCUCCAAGAACUUCCCACCUUGCUCUUGGGGAAACUCGAACUCAUAACCUCUCGGUUGGAAGUGGGGGUUGCUUACAAUUAGAGCAACCCCUCUUGUCUAAUGAAUCAGUUAAAAAAAAAUUAAUGGAACAUUAUUAAUGGCCAAACCUCCUGCAUUGUUUCCUUGGCAGAUUGUGCAGCAUUGGCAAGCUUGUCCAUCAUCUGGUUACCCUUUUCCUGAUACAUAAUAAUAUAUAUCACGUGUUAUCAAGCCAGAGCUACAUCGUCAUAAACAUAAAUUGUUGAAUUUCCUAGACAUAACAAAACACCACCAAAAGUGAUUCAAAAUUUUUUUUAUGUCACGGGUUCAAGUCGCAAACAUGGUAUUCUUGUAUUUCUUUUAAUUAAACUGUUAAAAUUUCCAGUUUCGUCACCACAUAUUAUUUAGCUACUAGCUAGGUAUAGCAUAUAGAUUACCUGGGCUUGGCCCUUGGCUUGGCCAGCUUGGUAGCUCAUGUUCUGGGAGUUAUCCAUGAUUAAUUUUGUGUUUGAAAAUUGAGCAAAUAGUGUUAUAGCUGGACUGAGAGAAAACAAACUGUAUUUUUUUGAAGAACUUGGAAUUGUUUGUUG